CUAGAUUCUGAAUAUUAGAUCUUUGUCAGAUGCAUAGUUUGUAAAUAUUUUAUCCCAUUCUGUAGGUUGUCUGUUUACUCUGUUGAUAGUUUCUUUUGCUGUGCAGAAGCUCUUUAGUUUAAUUAGGUCCUACUUGUCAAUUUUUGUUUUUGUUGCUUUUGGAGACUUUGUCAUGAAAUCUUUGCCAAACCCAAUGUCCAGAAUGAUAUUUCCUAGGUUUUCUUCUGGGAUUCUUAGAGUUUGAGGUCUUAAAUUUAAGUCUUUAAUCCAUCUUGAGUUGAUAUUUGUAUAUGAUGAAAGGAAGGGGUCCAGUUUCAACUUUCUGUAUGUGGCUAGGUUCACACAGCUUACUGUCUACGUUAAUUGACUUCACAAUUCCCCUCUUUAUCAGCAUAACUGUAUGAUUCCAGGAAACUCUUGUCCAAGAAGAUAAAAGUUUUAAACACAGAUACAGUAUUAUCAAUUUGAGGAACUUCCUGAGUGGCCCAUCUGCUCUCAAAAAAAAGCAUCAAAUGACAGUUUAUACCCCAAGACUCUGUGAACACUUUGCCUCAAAACUCUCAGUUUGCUGUGUUCACCAAUCUACUUCCAUUUUAUUAGGAUUCGUAUUCAAUACUAACCAAGUCCCUGUCUUAGAUCAGACUUCGAAACCUCAGAAAGUCUCAGCAUCCUAACUUUGCCCUUCCUCCUCUGAGAUGUUAUUGAGACCCUAUUGAGAUAGCGUUCUCUCUGGCAGUUAGGGCAGGACUCCAGCCUGUGUGGAGCCAACAGUGUUUGAUGUGGGAACAUUUGCAGUGGAGCAUGGCCAGGGAUGCUCAUCCCCCAAGGCUCACCAUGCUCCUUCAGGAGACUUUAGCCUUAGGGUGACUGUCAGAACUGGACAGAGCAGGGCAGUCUUGCCUGUGGGACAGGGCCAAUUUUAUCUGAGCACCCCUCUGUCUGCUGGCAUUGCCUGGGGACCCAGCCUGCCCAUUCUCACUUGCAGCACAACUUUGGAUGCCCAACUGCUAUAUCCAGGGAACCUCAUCAUAGCUUCUUCAUUGUCAGACCACACCUCACUGUUGGAGAGCUCCAGCAGAUUGGCCCCUGGCAAUGCACAUCAGUCCACACACAGUCUCCCUCCACCAUUGACUCCCCCUGCCACUUUGCCAGCACACAUUUGUCUACAGCCCGUGCUCCACCACU
This 1185-nucleotide long non-coding RNA is filed under the name Pan troglodytes (chimpanzee). RNAcentral's name for it is "long non-coding RNA NONPTRT003136". Lineage: Eukaryota; Metazoa; Chordata; Mammalia; Primates; Hominidae. The record is from RNAcentral.